This 277-nucleotide ribosomal RNA is filed under the name uncultured bacterium. Its description in RNAcentral is "partial 16S ribosomal RNA". It matches the Rfam family "Bacterial small subunit ribosomal RNA", at positions 28 to 307 of the family's 1533-position model. The record is from RNAcentral.
GACGAACGCUGGCGGCGUGCUUAACACAUGCAAGUCGAGCGGUAAGGCCCUUUCGGGGGUACACGAGCGGCGAACGGGUGAGUAACACGUGGGUAACCUGCCCCACACACUGGGAUAAGCCUGGGAAACUGGGUCUAAUACCGGAUAUGACCUGUCCCUGCAUGGGGGUGGGUGGAAAGCUCCGGCGGUGUGGGAUGGGCCCGCGGCCUAUCAGCUUGUUGGUGGGGUAGUGGCCUACCAAGGCGACGACGGGUAGCCGGCCUGAGAGGGUGUCCGG